CAGUCGCCGCGGUAAUACGUAGGUGGCAAGCGUUGUCCGGAAUUAUUGGGCGUAAAGGGCUCGCAGGCGGUUUCUUAAGUCUGAUGUGAAAGCCCCCGGCUCAACCGGGGAGGGUCAUUGGAAACUGGGAAACUUGAGUGCAGAAGAGGAGAGUGGAAUUCCACGUGUAGCGGUGAAAUGCGUAGAGAUGUGGAGGAACACCAGUGGCGAAGGCGACUCUCUGGUCUGUAACUGACGCUGAGGAGCGAAAGCGUGGGGAGCGAACAGGAUUAGAUACCGAGUAGUCCCUGUCUCUUAUACA
Molecule: ribosomal RNA, 301 nt
Filed under: uncultured bacterium
Lineage: Bacteria
Description: partial 16S ribosomal RNA
Rfam family: Bacterial small subunit ribosomal RNA
Source: RNAcentral